AUUGAACGCUGGCGGCAUGCCUUACACAUGCAAGUCGAACGGCAGCGGACCUUCGGGUGCCGGCGAGUGGCGAACGGGUGAGUAAUAUAUCGGAACGUACCUUUCAGUGGGGGAUAACGUAGCGAAAGUUACGCUAAUACCGCAUAUUCUGUGAGCAGGAAAGCAGGGGAUCGCAAGACCUUGCGCUGAUUGAGCGGCCGAUAUCAGAUUAGCUAGUUGGUGAGGUAAAGGCUCACCAAGGCGACGAUCUGUAGCGGGUCUGAGAGGAUGAUCCGCCACACUGGAACUGAGACACGGUCCAGACUCCUACGGGAGGCAGCAGUGGGGAAUUUUGGACAAUGGGCGCAAGCCUGAUCCAGCCAUGCCGCGUGAGUGAAGAAGGCCUCGGUUGUAAGACUCUUUCGGUCCGGGAGAAGUACGCACAGGUUAAUA
This 432-nucleotide ribosomal RNA is filed under the name uncultured bacterium. RNAcentral describes it as "bacterial SSU rRNA". It matches the Rfam family "Bacterial small subunit ribosomal RNA", at positions 30 to 464 of the family's 1533-position model. The record is from RNAcentral.